AAACCAGGAUUAGAUACCCUAUUAUAAAAAUUUAAAUUAAUUUACUAAAAAAUUAAUAGUUAUGUUCUUUAAAUUUAAAAAAUUUGGCGGUAUUUUAGUCUUAUUAGAGGAACCUGUUUAUUAAUUGAUAAUCCACGAUUAAUUUUACUUAUUUAAUUAAUUCAUAUAUCGCUGUCAUGAAUAUAUUAAAAAAUUUAUUUUCUUUAUUUAUUAUUAUAAUUUAUGUUAAGUCAAGAUGUGGUUUAUAAAUAAGAAUAUAAUGGGUUACAUUAAAUUUUAUUUUUGGAUUUUAAAUGAAAAUUAAAAUGAAAUUGGAUUUAAUAGUAAAUUUAUUUAUU
This 338-nucleotide ribosomal RNA is filed under the name Rhopalosiphum padi (bird cherry-oat aphid). Its description in RNAcentral is "partial 12S ribosomal RNA". RNAcentral also lists the same sequence under 1 other name. Lineage: Eukaryota; Metazoa; Arthropoda; Insecta; Hemiptera; Aphididae. The record is from RNAcentral.